RNAcentral lists this ribosomal RNA (442 nucleotides) under uncultured bacterium. Its description in RNAcentral is "partial 16S ribosomal RNA". It matches the Rfam family "Bacterial small subunit ribosomal RNA", at positions 338 to 795 of the family's 1533-position model. The record is from RNAcentral.
CCUACGGGGGGCAGCAGUGGGGAAUAUUGGGCAAUGGAGGAAACUCUGACCCAGCAACGCCGCGUGAAUGAUGAAGGUCUUCGGAUUGUAAAGUUCUUUUCUAAGGGAAGAAGAAAGUGACGGUACCUUAGGAAUAAGCCUCGGCUAACUACGUGCCAGCAGCCGCGGAAAUACGUGGCGGCCAGCGCUAUCCGGAAUGACUGGGCGGAAAGGGUGCGUAGGGGGUGUGAUAAGUUGGUAGCGAAACUCCGAGGCUCAACCUCGGCACUACUGCCAAAACUGUCGGACUUGAGUGCAGGAGAGGCAACUGGAAUUGCUAGGGUAGCGGUGGAAUGCGUAGAUAUUAGGAGGAACACCAGUGGCGAAGGCGAGUUGCUGGACUGUAACUGACACUGAGGCACGAAAGCGUGGGGAGCAAACAGGAUUAGAUACCCGUGUAGUC